AUUGAACGCUGGCGGCAUGCCUUACACAUGCAAGUCGAACGGUAACAGGUCUUCGGAUGCUGACGAGUGGCGAACGGGUGAGUAAUACAUCGGAACGUGCCUAGUAGUGGGGGAUAACUACUCGAAAGAGUGGCUAAUACCGCAUGAGAUCUACGGAUGAAAGCAGGGGAUCGCAAGACCUUGUGCUACUAGAGCGGCCGAUGGCAGAUUAGGUAGUUGGUGGGAUAAAAGCUUACCAAGCCGACGAUCUGUAGCUGGUCUGAGAGGACGAUCAGCCACACUGGGGCUGAGAAACGGCCCAGACUCCUACGGGAGGCAGCAGUGGGGAAUUUUGGACAAUGGGCGCAAGCCUGAUCCAGCUAUGCCGCGUGCAGGAUGAAGGCCUUCGGGUUGUAAACUGCUUUUGUACGGAACGAAAAGCCCCGGGUUAAUACCCUGGGGUCAUGACGGUACCGUAAGAAUAAGCACCGGCUAACUACGUGCCAGCAGCCGCCGUAA
RNAcentral lists this ribosomal RNA (498 nucleotides) under uncultured bacterium. RNAcentral's name for it is "partial 16S ribosomal RNA". It matches the Rfam family "Bacterial small subunit ribosomal RNA", at positions 30 to 523 of the family's 1533-position model. The record is from RNAcentral.